UACGUAGGGUGCGAGCGUUAAUCGGAAUUACUGGGCGUAAAGCGUGCGCAGGCGGUUUUGUAAGCCAGAUGUGUAAUCCCCGGGCUUAACCUGGGAAUGGCAUUUGGGACUGCAAGGCUUGAGUGCGGCAGAGGAGACUGGAAUUCCUGGUGUAGCAGUGAAAUGCGUAGAUAUCAGGAGGAAUACCGAUGGCGAAGGCAGGUCUCUGGGCUGACACUGACGCUCAUGCACGAAAGCGUGGGGAGCAAACAGG
This 253-nucleotide ribosomal RNA is filed under the name uncultured bacterium. RNAcentral's name for it is "partial 16S ribosomal RNA". It matches the Rfam family "Bacterial small subunit ribosomal RNA", at positions 524 to 776 of the family's 1533-position model. The record is from RNAcentral.